AUUUAAAUAGUUUAAGUAAAAUUUUAGGUUGUGGGUCUAAAGAUAUACAUUGUAUUUUAAAUA
This 63-nucleotide transfer RNA is filed under the name Drilonius striatulus. RNAcentral describes it as "tRNA-His". Lineage: Eukaryota; Metazoa; Arthropoda; Insecta; Coleoptera; Omethidae. The record is from RNAcentral.